Molecule: long non-coding RNA, 1732 nt
Filed under: Cricetulus griseus (Chinese hamster)
Lineage: Eukaryota; Metazoa; Chordata; Mammalia; Rodentia; Cricetidae
Description: lncRNA (ENSCGRG00000024307.1)
Source: RNAcentral
AUGUCAUGUCUCUUCUCUCAAGUGGAGUUCCAAACAGGCAAUUUACGAAGUAUUUUCGGAACGCUGUUGGCGCUGUGUUCCAGGAUGCCUGCAUUGUUGAUGAGACAUCAUGCGGGGCUGAAGCUGUCAUCAGAGGCACAGCGGGAAGCCUGCAUUACUGCUGCCUAUCCAGAUAAUGCUGUCUUCUUCUUCUUCUUCUUCUUUUUUAAUAAAUAAGUAUCAGCCAACAAGAGCUUAUUUUUUAUUUUUGGCAGAUGCAUGUAAGUCCACUUCCUAGACUCGGUAAGACUGCAACAUAAAAAUAAUUUGAACAUUAAUUUUCUUAGUAUGCAUUCUUCAUUAGAGGCUGGGACAAGGUCUCAGGUCCAGGGGGUUUAAUUGGGAGGUAAUCUCAGGAAGUAGGAGUUGGUAUUGAGAAUGAGAGGAAAUGGCAGAGAAAAAAAUGGGGCUGUGCAGUCAAGGCCAAGGCCACUGCUAAAGGCAGUGGGCUGUUGGUGCUACAAACUUGGGAAAUUGUAGAGGAAACUUUCCCUGAGUUGUCCUCUUGAGCAGGUGAGGGUUUUAAAUUCUUCUAGUUGCCUCCCACGUGUAAGGGAGGGAAGGGGGCUCAUACUCUCCAGGCUGUGUCCAUUUGGAAUAUCUCUCUCAGACCAUUCUUACAACUCAUCUUUAGCACCACCUAAGACUUAACUCUCCAGGAAGCAGCCCCACCUGUGCAGCUCUGUCAGAUCUGGGCUGAGGGAAGGAGACAGAUACCAAGGGCAUCUGUUACAUUAGGAUUCUUCCCCCCCAUCUGUGUGUGUGGGGGGCACCUAGUAAGAGUGCUUGUACACACCUGUAUAGGUCAGAGGAAGGAGUGGGUAGCCUGCUCUCAUUCUUCACUGUAUUCCCCUGAGACAAUGUCUGUCAACGUCUGUCAGUUACUGAACCUUGAACUUUGCUGGCAACCACCAAGCCCCAUGCAAUCUUCCUACCUCUAGCCCCCACAGUGGGUGGGGUAAUAGAUGCACAUGGGCAUGCUGGGGAUUUGAACUCAGGUCCUCAUGCUUGUGAGCCAUCUCCCCAUCCCUGAAUUCCUUUGUUUUUUUUUUUAACAGACAAUAUAAUCUUCAUUUCUUGUCAUUAUCUGAAAUUUAAAUGUCCUAUGGAUUAAGAAUGGAAUACUGUGUGUUUAUAAAAAAACACAAUUGAGGAAUUUAUAAUUGAGAUAAUUUAUGUCACAUCUAUAGCAUCAAAAAAUUCAUCGAGGAAAGGCUUGAGUCUACUAUGGCAUCCUCUUGGCUUCAGUAGCCUGCUGUAAUCCUUGGGCAGGCUGCCUCCUUCUAUUGGCAGCCUUCUUAGGGAUUCUGACUAGGUGGCAGGAGCAGAGGUGACCUGUGGCUUCUAGCGAGACACAUCAAGUGCAACCAAGGUGGUAUUCUACCACUGAACAUGGACUUCCCCAGAGAAAGUGCUGGAAAUGGUCCUGUUCUAGAUAGUCAAAGACGAUAGUAUAGAAUACAAGAUUUAGGAAGGAUUGAGGCAAGCAAGCAUAGCCCAGAUGGUGAUGCUGACAUUUGUCUUCAUAUAUGCUAGACACUUGCCUCCAUUUGUAGUUGACAUUACCAUUUAGUGGCAUCUAAGCUAACCGCCAGGUCCCGACACUACCAGUGCAAAUACAUUUUAGAGCUUUUCAUUGUUUUGAAUGAUUUUAUAUGAAAAUUACACUAAAUGAACAUUCUAUUUUCAUGAA